GCGGGGAGGAAGCGGCUGGGGCUGCCCGGUCUCGCCGGCGCUUUGGAGGCGGAGGGAGAGGAGCUUCCAGGGGGGGGGGGUGUUAUUUGGGCUCCGGUCCAUUGAAAUCCGGCUGCGUGUCAUCCAAGCGGCCUUUCUCCCCCCGCAACUGAGAUCGAAAAGACCGAGUCCUCCAAGGCGACCUCUUCUUCUUGAACGCUUCCCUGGGGUUGGAGGACGGGCGGCUGGGAAAAGGGCAGCUGGACGCUCGCUCUGGCGCAGAGCUCGACCCGCAGCUGAGCCGGCCCGUCCCCUCCUUCCUCCCCGCUUCCUUCGGGGAUCCUCCUCCUCCUCCUCUUCGGCUGGCUUAAUGGGGGUUUUGUGCAUCAGCCAGCGGUUCCUCCGAGCACCGCGGAUGGCGGGACUUCGUUCUGCAGACGUUUCUGCUUUUUCCUGCUCUGGGAUCCGGCUCCCUGGGCCACAGCAGAGGCCUUUGCAACGCCUGGGCGCCGAGGGAAGAGCGGCGUUUUGCAUCCUGUUUUCCCAAUCGUAAAUAUUUUCUGCUUAUGACAUGCGUUCAGAAGCUGGCCCUUUCCCAGACGAGACCACCGUACCGAUUGCAAAGGAGGCCUAAGUGGAAUCGGCGGCUGGGAAACGGGAGAGUCGCGUCGAGUCAUUUUGAUGGCAUCGUUGGAGGACUUUAUCCCGGGAAGUUUUAUUGCUGAUGCACAAUUUUGAAACAAUUUCUUCUUUUUUUCUUUUAAAAAGCAUGCAAGUCUGGAAACAUUUUCAGAUAAUUUCAAAAUUGACUCUCAUUAUGUUCUAAAGAUGAAU
Thamnophis elegans (Western terrestrial garter snake) is the source of this 813-nucleotide long non-coding RNA. RefSeq lists it as uncharacterized. The record is from RefSeq and is a predicted model, not a curated record. The transcript is spliced from 2 exons. NCBI's taxonomy places the organism in Eukaryota, Metazoa, Chordata, Lepidosauria, Squamata, Natricidae.